Molecule: ribosomal RNA, 482 nt
Filed under: uncultured bacterium
Lineage: Bacteria
Description: partial 16S ribosomal RNA
Rfam family: Bacterial small subunit ribosomal RNA
Source: RNAcentral
AUUGAACGCUGGCGGCAUGCCUUACACAUGCAAGUCGAACGGUAACGGGCCUUCGGGUGCCGACGAGUGGCGAACGGGUGAGUAAUACAUCGGAACGUGCCCGAUCGUGGGGGAUAACGAGGCGAAAGCUUUGCUAAUACCGCAUACGAUCUACGGAUGAAAGCAGGGGACCGCAAGGCCUUGCGCGGACGGAGCGGCCGAUGGCAGAUUAGGUAGUUGGUGGGAUAAAUGCUUACCAAGCCGACGAUCUGUAGCUGGUCUGAGAGGAUGAUCAGCCACACUGGGACUGAGACACGGCCCAGACUCCUACGGGAGGCAGCAGUGGGGAAUUUUGGACAAUGGGCGCAAGCCUGAUCCAGCCAUGCCGCGUGCAGGAUGAAGGCCUUCGGGUUGUAAACUGCUUUUGUACGGAACGAAAAGCCUUCUUUUAAUACAGGAGGGUCAUGACGGUACCGUAAGAAUAAGCACCGGCUAACUACGUG